GACGAACGCUGGCGGCGUGCUUAACACAUGCAAGUCGAACGGAAAGGCCCUGCUUUUGUGGGGUGCUCGAGUGGCGAACGGGUGAGUAACACGUGAGUAACCUGCCCUUGACUUUGGGAUAACUUCAGGAAACUGGGGCUAAUACCAGAUAGGAGCUCCUGCUGCAUGGUGGGGGUUGGAAAGUUUCGGCGGUUGGGGAUGGACUCGCGGCUUAUCAGCUUGUUGGUGGGGUAGUGGCUUACCAAGGCUUUGACGGGUAGCCGGCCUGAGAGGGUGACCGGCCACAUUGGGACUGAGAUACGACCCAGACUCCUACGGGAGGCAGCAGUGGGGAAUAUUGCACAAUGGGCGGAAGGCUGAUGCAGCAACGCAGCGUGCGGGAUGACGGCCUUCGGGUUGUAAACCGCUUUCGCCUGUGACGAAGCGUGAGUGACGGUAAUGGGUAAAGAAGCACCGGCUAACUACGUG
This 468-nucleotide ribosomal RNA is filed under the name uncultured bacterium. Its description in RNAcentral is "partial 16S ribosomal RNA". It matches the Rfam family "Bacterial small subunit ribosomal RNA", at positions 28 to 507 of the family's 1533-position model. The record is from RNAcentral.